RNAcentral lists this ribosomal RNA (524 nucleotides) under uncultured bacterium. Its description in RNAcentral is "partial 16S ribosomal RNA". It matches the Rfam family "Bacterial small subunit ribosomal RNA", at positions 28 to 523 of the family's 1533-position model. The record is from RNAcentral.
GAUGAACGCUGGCGGCGUGCCUAAUACAUGCAAGUCGAGCGCAGGAAACCGUCUGAACCCUUCGGGGGGACGACGGCGGAAUGAGCGGCGGACGGGUGAGUAACACGUAAAGAACCUGCCCACGGGUCUGGGAUAACCACGAGAAAUCGGGGCUAAUACCGGACGGGUCAUCGGACCGCAUGGUCCGAGGAUGAAAGGCGCUCCGGCGUCGCCCGUGGAUGGCUUUGCGGUGCAUUAGCUAGUUGGUGGGGUAACGGCCCACCAAGGCGACGAUGCAUAGCCGACCUGAGAGGGUGAUCGGCCACACUGGGACUGAGACACGGCCCAGACUCCUACGGGAGGCAGCAGUAGGGAAUCUUCCACAAUGGACGAAAGUCUGAUGGAGCAACGCCGCGUGAACGAUGAAGGCCCUCGGGUCGUAAAGUUCUGUUGUAAGGGAAGAACAAGUGCCGCAGGCAAUGGCGGCACCUUGACGGUACCUUGCGAGAAAGCCACGGCUAACUACGUGCCAGCCGCCGCGGUAA